CAAUUCAACAGAAGGUCCAUGGUGGGGAAACAACUCAACCGAAGGUCCAUGGUGGGGAAACAACUCAACCGAAGGUCCAUGGUGGGGAAACAACUCUACUGAGGGUCCA
This 109-nucleotide unclassified non-coding RNA is filed under the name Drosophila erecta. RNAcentral's name for it is "GG21836". Lineage: Eukaryota; Metazoa; Arthropoda; Insecta; Diptera; Drosophilidae. The record is from RNAcentral.